RNAcentral lists this ribosomal RNA (1484 nucleotides) under uncultured prokaryote. RNAcentral describes it as "partial 16S ribosomal RNA". It matches the Rfam family "Bacterial small subunit ribosomal RNA". The record is from RNAcentral.
AGAUUGAAGAGUUUGAUUCUGGCUCAGAUUGAACGCUAGCGGCAUGCUUAACACAUGCAAGUCGAACGGCAGCGCAGGGAGGCUUCCUCCGUGUGAGUAGAGCGGCGGACGGGUGAGUAACGCGGAGGAAUCUGCCCAGUAGUGGGGGACAACCCGAGGAAACUCGGGCUAAUACCGCAUACGCCCUACGGGGGAAAGGAGGGGACCUUCGGACCUUGCGCUAUUAGAUGAGUCUACUUCGGAUUAGCUUGUAGGUUAGGUAAUGGCUAACCUAGGCGAUGAUCCGUAGCUGGUCUGAGAGGAUGAUCAGCCACACUGGGACUGAGACACGGCCCAGACUCCUACGGGAGGCAGCAGUGGGGAAUAUUGGACAAUGGGCGAAAGCCUGAUCCAGCAAUACCGCGUGUGUGAAGAAGGCCUUCGGGUUGUAAAGCACUUUCAGUGGGGAAGAAAGAGCCAAGGUUAAUAGCCUUGGAAGUUGACGUUACCCACAGAAGAAGCACUGGCUAACUCUGUGCCAGCAGCCGCGGUAAUACAGAGAGUGCAAGCGUUAAUCGGAAUUACUGGGCGUAAAGCGCGCGUAGGUGGAUAUUUAAGUCGGAUGUGAAAGCCCCGGGCUCAACCUGGGAACUGCACUCGAUACUGGGUAUCUAGAGUAUGGGAGAGGAAAGUGGAAUAUCCGGUGUAGCGGUGAAAUGCGUAGAGAUCGGAUGGAACACCAGUGGCGAAGGCGACUUUCUGGACCAUAACUGACGCUGAGGCGCGAAAGCGUGGGGAGCAAACAGGAUUAGAUACCGGUAGUCCACGCCCUAAACGAUGUCUACUAGCCGUUGGAAUCCUUAGAGGUUUUAGUGGCGCAGCUAACGCAAUAAGUAGACCGCCUGGGGAGUACGGCCGCAAGGCUAAAACUCAAAUGAAUUGACGGGGGCCCGCACAAGCGGUGGAGCAUGUGGUUUAAUUCGACGCAACGCGAAGAACCUUACCUACUCUUGACAUCCUCGGAACUUAGCAGAGAUGCUUUGGUGCCUUCGGGAACCGAGUGACAGGUGCUGCAUGGCUGUCGUCAGCUCAUGUCGUGAGAUGUUGGGUUAAGUCCCGUAACGAGCGCAACCCUUGUCCUUAGUUGCCAGCACGUAAUGGUGGGAACUCUAAGGAGACUGCCGGUGACAAACCGGAGGAAGGUGGGGACGACGUCAAGUCAUCAUGGCCCUUACGUCUUGGGCUACACACGUGCUACAAUGGGGAGUACAGAGGGUUGCCAAGCCGCGAGGUGGAGCUAAUCCCAGAAAACUUCUCGUAGUCCGGAUUGGAGUCUGCAACUCGACUCCAUGAAGUUGGAAUCGCUAGUAAUCGCGAAUCAGAAUGUCGCGGUGAAUACGUUCCCGGGCCUUGUACACACCGCCCGUCACAUCAUGGGAGUGUGUUGCACCAGAAGUAGCUAGUUUAACCUUCGGGAUGACGGUUACCACGGUGUGGUUCAUGAC